AUGCCCUUUUUGAUGCCCUUUUUGAACAACACGCCAGCUGAAGGCGGGCAGAAAUACUGCACUCUCCGACGCCAGGUUGGAGUACCACCCAGUGAAGAGUACAAGGAUGUCCGAGCAGUGUCGCCUCUUAUAUGCCGUGACAAAUGGCAAAUCCAUGUCCUGUGUCGAUCCAGUGAUGAGAAGGCUCGGAGAGCAAAGUUGCACAAACACAGGAAAAGCUCCAGCAGAAACUUGAAAAGCUUGACACGGAGAGAGGCGAGGGAGUGAGGCAGCGCGCUCCGAGCAUGACGUGAUGCACUGUUGCCUGUUCAAGGGAAGAGUACAGCCUGUGGUGUGGGGCUGUCACCAGGAUCCUGCUCUUUGUAAGGGCAGCAACCCCCAGUCUGAAAAAAAACCGUCUGUGAGGCACCCCUUCUUUUUCCAAAGGGCAGGAUCUUGGUGACGCUGCUCAGCUGGCUGGUGGCUGGGGGAGGUGGAGAGCAAGAAAAGGGGAAGUCGGAGGGAGCAAAGAAAGGGCGACAGCCUGGGAAGGAAGAGGGAACUUGUAUAACGGAGAGCUCGGACCUGCCGUGAUUCCAAAGAAGUGUUUUUGGGACUGUUCUUCAAGGCCAAGGAGUGAAAGGGGCUAGAGAAGUACUAUACAAAAGUAUUACGAGAUGUACUAUUUAGAAGUAUUAUUGUUUUCAUUAUAUUUUUGAAUUAUACUUAAAAAAAAAAAUCCGGGACUAUAUUUAAGGAACAUUUUUAUCACCCAAGGCACCCAUCUCAGGGGAUUUUUCAGCACCAGGGGAAAGCGAUCAGUAAUGGACACACAUUAUUAACGCAAUAAUAUCUCCCCAACCCUGAAGCAGAGUUUGGUUUGAGAGGACACUAUCAAAAACUCAAAGGCAAAAAGUAUUGUUGCGAUAAACCUAAAAAAAAAAAAACAAAGCAGACCAAAACACAAUGGCUUCAAGCCUCCCAAAUUGCUGGUUAACUCAGAAAAUAAAGUAACCCUAACCUCAUAGCUGCA
Molecule: long non-coding RNA, 1012 nt
Filed under: Struthio camelus australis
Lineage: Eukaryota; Metazoa; Chordata; Aves; Struthioniformes; Struthionidae
Description: lncRNA (ENSSCUG00000000386.1)
Source: RNAcentral